Long non-coding RNA from Papaver somniferum (opium poppy), 1982 nucleotides. RefSeq lists it as uncharacterized. The transcript has 3 exons. Lineage: Eukaryota; Viridiplantae; Streptophyta; Magnoliopsida; Ranunculales; Papaveraceae. The record is from RefSeq and is a predicted model, not a curated record.
AUAUUGAAAAAACAGUUUCACGCAGCAAAAAGAAAAAGAAACAAAAAAACAGUCCUUCCCUGAACAAAAAUAAAAACAAAAAAAAAAAGUUUCUCUUAUGAAACUCUGUUCUCCGUCUUUCUGUUGUCCUUCUCCGUUUUUCUGUUCUUCUUUGUUCAUCGUAUCUGUUCUUCUUAGAUUUUUGUUGUAAUUAUAGUUUGUUUGUUUUUAUUUUGCAGAUACAGUUUUUGAAGAUGAGAUACUAUUAGGGUUUCGUUUUGUAGGUCACCAAGACAAUAAACGCUAUACUAAAGGUUUUGCUCCUGAUAAACAAUAAAAUCCCAUCAAAUUUCGGUAAACCCUAAGCUUAUUCGGUGUUUCUCUGAUUAUAAAUCCAUCAAAUUUCAAUUCCGUUCAAAGUGCGUCAAACGACUGAGGAUGUGCUGAGUUCUGUGCACGAAUCUAUAAACAAUAAAAUCCCAUCAAAUUUCGGUAAACCCUAAGCUUAUUCUUUGUGUUUCUCUGAUUAUAAAUCCAUCAAAUUUCAAUUCCGUUCAAAGUGCGUCAAACGACUGAGGAUGUGCUGAGUUCUGUGCACGAAUCUAUAAGCUUGGGUUUCAUUGCUGAUUGAUCGUUUGGUUGGUUCUUUGUUAACUGCAUCCUCGCCAUUUCGGCCCAAAUCUACGUGACAAGUUGGUCGCAAGGCUCAUGAAAUAUGUGGAAGGAAGGUACAGGGUUUGUAAAUCAUGUUUUGACUCAUUAGACAUUUUCUUCCAAUUAUUUUUGUGGAGAUGUUGUAUUUUUUUUUGGAGUACAUACUCUAAUUAAUGUGCUAGUAGUAAGAUGUGAAGUACGUUAUAUUAUGGAAAUGUGUUGGCAAUGGGUGGUGAUGGUCCUGAUGGAUGAAUGCAAAAAACAAUGUACGUGGGUUUGUUUGUGGUUCUGGUGGUAAUCUAAUUAGAAACGUAGAUUAUUUUGUUAAUGUAGGUUAACUGUAUAUGCAUUUUGGAAGUAAUGGGGGUUUGUAGAUUUACCAGGUGAAAGAUUGCUUUAUUUGUGUUUCUUAGAUUUAGUGUAGGUUAACUGUAUAAGUCAUCGGUAUGUCAGAAUGUAGCUUCUCUAACCUUAAUGAUCAAAUGGCGCUAAUCUACUCCGAGCCUGAUGUAACGGUAGACUGUUAACAUCAACCUUAAUUCACGAAUUGUACUUAGCAGUACUAAGAGGAAAAAAAUUGUUGAUAAUUUUGUUCAUUGCCAGCUUUGGGACUAUAUGAGAGAACCUAGGAGCCGACACUCUUUCGGUCAUUCUAUACACUGUACAAGUUGUGAAGUUUGUAUAUGGUAGCAUCCCAGUUUACCAGGUAAUGGGUAAUGAUGUUGAACCCAAGAUCAAUAACAAACAAGCAAGACACUAACUAUGCUAAGGUAAUCGUUGUUUUAUACAUUUUUGUGCAUUUUUUGUUUUUAUCAGACUGUUCUAUCCUAAUUUUUCGAGCUAGAAGGAUGAGGGAAUAAUUGUUUGUUAAUUAUUUUGAAAAACUGCGUGGCUUCCCAAGUUUUUUCAGACUCAUUAGAAAUAGCUAAGAUUUUUUCACAUAUUUUAAUACCAUGUUACCAUGUCAAACACAUCAGCAACAGGAUAAUUUGAUGUCUACAUUUGGCACUGGGUUUUAGCCGAGUCUCAGUAUCCCGUUUCUUUGAAUUACAUAUCGUGCCUGAACUAAAGAUAUAUCCAAGGAUUAAUUAUAUACUUUGGUAAACCUCUUCCCUGCUUUUGAAGUCACUGCGAGUAUAAUCAAGCUCUAUUUAGUGACACCAUAUUAUUUUGGUGAACGGUAAUUUGUUUUUAUUUUGCAGAUACAGUUUUUGAAGAUGAGAUACUAUUAGGGUUUAGGGUUUCGUCGAUUGAAGGAAAGUUUGAAGAUGAGAUUCAAUUUGAGGUUUAGGUAUGAUUUCUAUCAAAUAUUAACUCUUUUGCUAUACAAGAGAUUCUAUCAAAUAUUC